AGUGCCUCAGUAACGGCGAGUGAAGCGGCAACAGCUCAAAUUUGAAAUCUGGCCGCAAGGUCCGAGUUGUAAUUUGCAGAGGAUGCUUUUGGCGAGGUGCCUUCCGAGUUCCCUGGAACGGGACGCCAUAGAGGGUGAGAGCCCCGUACGGUUGGACCACCGAGCCUCUGUAAAGCUCCUUCGACGAGUCGAGUAGUUUGGGAAUGCUGCUCUAAAUGGGAGGUGUACGUCUUCUAAAGCUAAAUACCGGCCAGAGACCGAUAGCGCACAAGUAGAGUGAUCGAAAGAUGAAAAGCACUUUGAAAAGAGGGUUAAAAAGUACGUGAAAUUGUUGAAAGGGAAGCGUUUAUGACCAGACUUGGGCUUGGUUGAACAUCCGGCGUUCUCGCCGGUGCACUCUGCCAGUCCAGGCCAGCAUCAGUUUGUCCCGGGGGAUAAAGGCGGUGGGAAUGUGGCUCCCCCGGGAGUGUUAUAGCCCGCCGUGCAAUGCCCUGGGACGGACUGAGGAACGCGCUUCGGCACGGAUGCUGGCGUAAUGGUCAUCAACGACCCGUCUUGAACCAACGGACCA
Molecule: ribosomal RNA, 571 nt
Filed under: Sarocladium oryzae
Lineage: Eukaryota; Fungi; Ascomycota; Sordariomycetes; Hypocreales; Sarocladiaceae
Description: partial 28S ribosomal RNA
Rfam family: Eukaryotic large subunit ribosomal RNA
Source: RNAcentral